GCUGAGUCCAGAAGAGGCAGUGCUUGUUCUUGCUUGUCCCCCUUGCAUUCCAGUGGCUCCACCAUGAGAAGAGCAGGACCCUUCAGUGUGGGCCCCGUCUGAGUCCAACCCACAUGCACAAGCCACCCAGCUGAACUUGGGCUGGAUCACUGAACCUUAGUCAUCCUGCAGACCUGCAACUCAGGCCCAAAGAGAGGAUGUGCUUAACCCCAGGCCACAGAGCGAGUUAACUAGUGAUGGACCCACAUUUAGCUCAUCCUUAUUUGAGUCAGGUUAAGUCCACACAGCCAGAUGCUCCCAACAGACCUGCAGCUGCCUGCAGAUGGCCAUCGUACCCCGGCCUCCCCAUUUGCCAGCUGGUCUCUCAGUUGCCUCAGCCCUUCCAUCUCCACUGAACAGGGUUCACAGCCCUUGCCCGCCAGGCACCCUUAUCUGAAGAGCUCCAAGCUGGGGUGGGUUUGGUCUUCUCCUGACCUCCGUCCGCUUCCUGGGGCCUGGAACAUCCUGAAGCUAGAACAAAACAGCUAAAGGCAGAAAAGGCGGCAAAUACUCGUUCAGUCAGAAGACAGGAAGACUAGCAGGAGGCUGACUCUGCGAGUAAGACCCACUGGCUUUAGAUUGGUGUUUCUUCCUGAGGCUGGGUCACACCAGGAAACCUUUGAUCCCUCCCUUCCCCUCCUCCCCAGAACCUGGAGCUUCUGUCUCCCACAGCCAGCAGUGGAACCAGUGGUGGCUGAGUAACUGAGGAACUGCAGGAGAGCCUCCAAGAAGAAGUGGAGAGAGGAGAAAAAGAGAGAGGACAGUUGAACAUUCUUCAGGAUCCAUAUGAGUGUGAGCACAUAUCCUCAUGUGCUGGCAUUUGACUGACUGACAGGUUAUGGAGGCCCAAUCUCUCUUUGGCGAUAAAGUGACAGAGGUCAGACCCGGAUAUAAUCUGCCGGGUUGAUUCCUAUAGGAGCAAGAGGAGACAAUCCCCUCCCUCCCUUUUUAGAACCCCAUACUUCUGUGAAUGCAACCUAAGGUCACACUGGCUUUUUAGUAGCUGCGUAAUCCUGUUGACUCAUUUUGCACUUAAUGUUGAAUAAAAAACUGUAAGAUAUUUUCUGUUUCUUGUGCCACUGAGCCAAGCUUUAUGCCCAUUCCAGCUCCCCUUCCCUUA
Molecule: long non-coding RNA, 1159 nt
Filed under: Homo sapiens (human)
Lineage: Eukaryota; Metazoa; Chordata; Mammalia; Primates; Hominidae
Description: HSALNT0174803
Source: RNAcentral